RNAcentral lists this ribosomal RNA (492 nucleotides) under uncultured bacterium. RNAcentral's name for it is "partial 16S ribosomal RNA". It matches the Rfam family "Bacterial small subunit ribosomal RNA", at positions 29 to 507 of the family's 1533-position model. The record is from RNAcentral.
AGUGAACGCUGGCGGUAGGCCUAACACAUGCAAGUCGAACGGCAGCACAGUAAGAGCUUGCUCUUACGGGUGGCGAGUGGCGGACGGGUGAGGAAUACAUCGGAAUCUACUUUUUCGUGGGGGAUAACGUAGGGAAACUUACGCUAAUACCGCAUACGACCUACGGGUGAAAGCAGGGGAUCUUCGGACCUUGCGCGAUUGAAUGAGCCGAUGUCGGAUUAGCUAGUUGGCGGGGUAAAGGCCCACCAAGGCGACGAUCCGUAGCUGGUCUGAGAGGAUGAUCAGCCACACUGGAACUGAGACACGGUCCAGACUCCUACGGGAGGCAUCAGUGGGGAAUAUUGGACAAUGGGCGCAAGCCUGAUCCAGCCAUACCGCGUGGGUGAAGAAGGCCUUCGGGUUGUAAAGCCCUUUUGUUGGGAAAGAAAAGCAGCGGGUUAAUACCCCGCUGUUCUGACGGUACCCAAAGAAUAAGCACCGGCUAACUUCGUG